RNAcentral lists this ribosomal RNA (825 nucleotides) under Tacheocampylaea carotii. RNAcentral's name for it is "partial 16S ribosomal RNA". The record is from RNAcentral. Lineage: Eukaryota; Metazoa; Mollusca; Gastropoda; Stylommatophora; Helicidae.
AUUUAUUACAUUUAUUACUUUUGUUUUAUCACGAAGGAAUUCGAGCUAAAUCAAUUAAAAAUAUUAGAAUAUAUAUACUAUGUAACAUAAUAGUAUCAUUACACUUUUUUGGGGGUGAUAGGCCUGUCAAGUUUUCCGAUAUCUUGUUAUACAAGAAAAAUAUUUAGUAUUUUUUCAUGCUAGAAAAGCUAAGCUUGCUAGCUUUAAUCAAUGAUAGUAUUCUUUUAUAAUAAAGUUUAAUAACUAAUUUAUUAUAAUAUAAAAUAUUAAUUAUAGAAUAUUAUAUAUAAUAUUGUAUUUAUACAAAAUUGUCUCUUUUUUAAUAAUGUAAAUAUGAGUCAUAAAAUUAAACAUUACUAAGGAACUCGGCAAAAUUACUGCUCAACUGUUUAUCAAAAACAUAACUAUAUGUAUUAAUAUAUAGCUAUUUCUGCUCAAUGGUUUACUAAAUAGCCGCAGUACUCUGACUGUGCAAAGGUAGCAUAAUCAAUUGACUUAUAAUUGAAGUCUGGUAUGAACGAAAUAAUGGGUAGUAACUGUCUUAAUAAUGUUUUAUUUAAUUUAGUUAAUAAGUGAAAAUACUUAUAUUUUAUGAAAGACGAGAAGACCCUAGAAACUUAAAUAUUUUUGUUGGGGCGACAGAAUUACAUUUAACUAAUUUUAUUGUACAUGAAGCUAUGAUGAUAGUUAAAGUUACUCUAGGGAUAACAGCAUAAUUUACAUAGUUUGUGACCUCGAUGUUGGACUAGGUAAGAUAUUUUUUAGGAGGAAAUAUUUUUUGCUCUGUUCGAGCAACUAUACCUACAUGAUCUGAGUUCAGACCGG